Molecule: ribosomal RNA, 867 nt
Filed under: uncultured Roseiflexus sp.
Lineage: Bacteria; Bacillati; Chloroflexota; Chloroflexia; Chloroflexales; Roseiflexaceae
Description: bacterial SSU rRNA
Rfam family: Bacterial small subunit ribosomal RNA
Source: RNAcentral
GACGAACGCUGGCGGCGUGCCUAAUGCAUGCAAGUCGCACGCAGGGUGCUUGCACUCUGAGUGGCGGACGGCUGAGGAACACGUGGGAACCUGCCCAUCCGUGGGGGACAACCCGGCGAAAGUCGGGCUAAUCCCGCAUACGCUUCUCUUCGGGAAGGAAAGCAGCAAUGUGCGGAUGGAGGGGCCCGCGGCCCAUCAGGUAGUUGGCGGGGUAACGGCCCACCAAGCCACUGACGGGUAGCUGGUCUGUGAGGAUAACCAGCCAGACUGGGACUGAGAGACGGCCCAGACUCCUACGGGAGGCAGCAGCAAGGAAUUUUCGGCAAUGGGCGCAAGCCUGACCGAGCAACGCCGCGUGGAGGACGACGGCCUUCGGGUUGUAAACUCCUUUUCGGGGGGAAGACAUCGACGGUACCCCCGGAAUCAGGCUCGGCUAACUCUGUGCCAGCAGCCGCGGUAAGACAGAGGAGCCAAGCGUUGUCCGGAGUGACUGGGCGUAAAGCGCACGCAGGUGGUGGCGCACGUGCGGUGUGAAAGCCGGCGGCUUAACUGCCGGAGGCCAUGGCAGACUGCGUCACUCGAGCGCGCGAGAGGUCCGUGGAAUUGCCGGUGUAGUGGUGAAAUGCGUAGAGAUCGGCAGGAACACCCAUGGGGAAACCAGCGGACUGGCGCGCGGCUGACACUGAGGUGCGACAGCGUGGGGAGCGAACGGGAUUAGAUACCCCGGUAGUCCACGCCGUAAACGAUGGACACUCGCCCUGUGCCGGUGUUAGAGCCGGUGCGGGGCCUAGCUAACGCGAGAAGUGUCCCGCCUGGGAACUACGAGCGCAAGCUUAAAACUCAAAGGAAUUGACGGGGGCCCGCACA